CUAAGAAUAUUCCGCAAUGGACGGAAGUCUGACGGAGCGACGCCGCGUGGAUGACGAAGGCCGAAAGGUUGUAAAGUUCUUUUGCUGGGGAAGAAUAACCGCAGGAGGGAAUGCCUGUGGGAUGACAAGAACCGGCGAAUAAGCCCCGGCCAACUACGUGCCAGCAGCCGCGGUAACACGUAGGGGGCGAGCGUUGUUCGGAAUUACUGGGCGUAAAGGGCAUGUAGGCGGCUUGGAAAGCCUGGCGUGAAAGUCUGCAGCUUAACUGCAGGGGUGCGCUGGGAACUGCUGAGCUUGAGUGACGGAGAGGGAGCUGGAAUUCCUGGUGUAGGGGUGAAAUCUGUAGAUAUCAGGAAGAACACCGAUGGCGAAGGCAAGCUCCUGGCCGAUGACUGACGCUGAGGUGCGAAAGUGUGGGGAUCAAACAGGAUUAGAUACCCUGGUAGUCCACACAGUCAACGAUGUGCACUAGGUGCUGGGGCGGUAGCUUCGGUGCCGGAGCGAACGUGGUAAGUGCACCGCCUGGGGAGUAUGC
This 535-nucleotide ribosomal RNA is filed under the name uncultured bacterium. RNAcentral's name for it is "partial 16S ribosomal RNA". It matches the Rfam family "Bacterial small subunit ribosomal RNA", at positions 355 to 885 of the family's 1533-position model. The record is from RNAcentral.